GAUGAACGCUGGCGGCGUGCCUAAUACAUGCAAGUCGAGCGAACGGACGAGAAGCUUGCUUCUCUGAUGUUAGCGGCGGACGGGUGAGUAACACGUGGAUAACCUACCUAUAAGACUGGGAUAACUUCGGGAAACCGGAGCUAAUACCGGAUAAUAUUUUGAACCGCAUGGUUCAAAAGUGAAAGACGGUCUUGCUGUCACUUAUAGAUGGAUCCGCGCUGCAUUAGCUAGUUGGUAAGGUAACGGCUUACCAAGGCAACGAUGCAUAGCCGACCUGAGAGGGUGAUCGGCCACACUGGAACUGAGACCCGGUCCAGACCCCUACGGGAGGCAGCAGUAGGGAAUCUUCCGCAAUGGGCGAAAGCCUGACGGAGCAACGCCGCGUGAGUGAUGAAGGUCGUCGGAUCGUAAAACUCUGUUAUUAGGGAAGAACAUAUGUGUAAGUAACUGUGCACAUCUUGACGGUACCUAAUCAGAAAGCCACGGCUAACUACG
RNAcentral lists this ribosomal RNA (495 nucleotides) under uncultured bacterium. RNAcentral describes it as "partial 16S ribosomal RNA". It matches the Rfam family "Bacterial small subunit ribosomal RNA", at positions 28 to 505 of the family's 1533-position model. The record is from RNAcentral.